UUACUUUUAAAUAUAUUUUAGAUUAAGAAUUAAAAUUAAUAUGUUUACAAGUAAUAAUAAAAAUAUAAUUAGAUGAAAGCAUGAGUAUUUUAGGUAUUUGUAUUAUUACAAAUCAUUUGGAUGGAGAUUAGAGAUAAGCAAACGAACAACAUCUCAUUCGGAUGAUCCAGUCAAAUGAACCGACUAAAAAUGAAACAAACAAGAGUCGGAUGAAUCAUCUAGAUAGACAUGUUGAAUCGAUCAGUUGGAUGAAUCUGUCAAAUGGAGAAAUGAACAGGCCUUAUAAUGUUUCUAUCCUCAAU
Molecule: small RNA, 302 nt
Filed under: Arabidopsis thaliana (thale cress)
Lineage: Eukaryota; Viridiplantae; Streptophyta; Magnoliopsida; Brassicales; Brassicaceae
Description: ATSL181770
Source: RNAcentral